RNAcentral lists this ribosomal RNA (314 nucleotides) under uncultured fungus. RNAcentral describes it as "LSU rRNA". The record is from RNAcentral. Lineage: Eukaryota; Fungi.
CGUUAAGGAUGUUGACGUAAUUAACGCCUUCAUGCCUGCAUAUUCGUGCACUUUGGGUGUACUUGCCCGUGUGUAAGUUAACAUCAAUUUUGGUGGUCAUAAAAUGGCUGGAGGAAUGUAGCUUCGAUCUUGUAUUGAAGUGUUAUAGCCUUCGGUAGAUGUGACGAUCGGGAUUGAGGAUUGCAACGGAUACCCUUCGGGGCUACCUGUCUGAUCUCUGAUUGUUGCUCUGGUACCGAAAGCUUGCUUACGGUUAUCAAAGUCGAUGGUCAAUAGGUUAGAACGGGUUAAAUUCGUUAAGGAUGUUGACGUAA